Molecule: long non-coding RNA, 237 nt
Organism: Etheostoma cragini (Arkansas darter)
Lineage: Eukaryota; Metazoa; Chordata; Actinopteri; Perciformes; Percidae
Exons: 3
Source: RefSeq, a predicted model, not a curated record
GUGUGUGUGUGUGUGUGUAAGGCGGAGGCGAGGCUGGCGGCGAAGCGAGCAGCGAGAGCCGAGGCCCGAGACAUCAGGAUGAAGGAGCUGGAGCGGCAACAGAAAGAGAGGUAUUAUGGUCUGGAUAGUAAGUGGGGUCACAUUGAACAGUGGAUGGAGGACAGUGAGCGGUAUUCUCGCCACUCACGGAGACACACCUCGGUCUGUAUCGCUCUCCUCUGUCCUACAAAAUAUAUA